UGAUACCAGGGGCACAAUCCUGAAGCCGUGCCAUGCUUGCAUGUGCAUGGCUGACAGGAUUAGUGCCCCGCACACACAUGAGCAUAAGAGUGUGGCGAAGCACCACGAUAUGCGAAUGUGUGUCGGGAUUGCGAGAGUGUAAAACACGGAGCAAUCCCGAGGUAUCU
Small RNA from Firmicutes bacterium CAG:194, 167 nucleotides. It matches the Rfam family "Clostridiales-1 RNA". NCBI's taxonomy places the organism in Bacteria, Bacillati, Bacillota. The record is from Rfam.